RNAcentral lists this ribosomal RNA (339 nucleotides) under uncultured Pseudomonadota bacterium. RNAcentral's name for it is "bacterial SSU rRNA". It matches the Rfam family "Bacterial small subunit ribosomal RNA", at positions 29 to 351 of the family's 1533-position model. The record is from RNAcentral. Lineage: Bacteria; Pseudomonadati; Pseudomonadota.
AACAAACGCUGGCGGCGUGCCUAACACAUGCAAGUCGUACGAGAAAGUUGGCUUCGGCCAAUGAGUAAAGUGGCGCACGGGUGAGUAACGCGUGGAUAAUCUGCCCUCUGGUCAGGGAUAACCAAUCGAAAGGUUGGCUAAUACCCGAUCCUACUCUUGCACUGCGGUGCAAUAGUUAAAGAUGGCCUCUGUAUACAAGCUAUCGCCGGAGGAUGAGUCCGCGUACCAUUAGCUAGUUGGCAGGGUAAUGGCCUACCAAGGCAAUGAUGGUUAGCUGGUCUGAGAGGAUGGCCAGCCACACUGGAACUGAGACACGGUCCAGACUCCUACGGGAGGCAG